Molecule: ribosomal RNA, 273 nt
Filed under: uncultured bacterium
Lineage: Bacteria
Description: partial 16S ribosomal RNA
Rfam family: Bacterial small subunit ribosomal RNA
Source: RNAcentral
UACGAAGGGGGCUAGCGUUGUUCGGAAUUACUGGGCGUAAAGCGCACGUAGGCGGGUUGUUAAGUCAGGGGUGAAAUCCCGGAGCUCAACUCCGGAACUGCCUUUGAUACUGGCAAUCUAGAGACUGGAAGAGGUUAGUGGAAUUCCCAGUGUAGAGGUGAAAUUCGUAGAUAUUGGGAAGAACACCAGUGGCGAAGGCGGCUAACUGGUCCAGUACUGACGCUGAGGUGCGAAAGCGUGGGGAGCAAACAGGAUUAGAAACCCCAGUAGUCC